AAUCAUCAACAGUGGCACCAGUGUGGUGUGAAGUCUAGUAAGGGAAAACCGUUUGAAAAGGGAUUGAAUCCUCUUAAACUCUGAAUCUGUUUAAUUUUACGAAUAUUUCUGGUCAUCUAGAGUUUAUAGGACAUACUGCUUCACCUGUUAGCGCCACGUGGACUCCAUUCCAGAGCCCAGCUGGAGAGGAACCCAGUGAGGAAGAACAUCCAGAGCAAUGACGUGUCAGCAACAUCACAGCCAAGAUGGUGAUGGUGACAAUGAAGCAAUGAAUGAUGAUAAUGAUGCACCAGUAUUAGUUUGACUUUUAUGGGAUGAGGAUGCAUCACCAUCGGGAAUGACAGGACAAAGUACGAGAAAAUAAAUGUGCCUCAUAGGACCAAUGCACUUCAUAAACGACUCACAGUUCCCAAUCUCCUUCUGCAAAACAGCAAGAACAAGACUGUCAUGUGAUCCAUCCAGGUUUACCUGUAUUAUCUUAAAGCAGGAUAGAGAAGAGCAAUGAGUAAGUUAUGUGCAUUACAAACAUGACUUUUCAAUAUUUUCAUAUGAAGUACAAUGUUUUAAAAACUGUUAAAUGUCAGUAACCAUUCACAAUGAAUGAAUUGUUUCAUUAAAAAGAAUCUUAUA
This is a long non-coding RNA of Scylla paramamosain (green mud crab), 630 nucleotides long. RefSeq lists it as uncharacterized. The record is from RefSeq and is a predicted model, not a curated record. NCBI's taxonomy places the organism in Eukaryota, Metazoa, Arthropoda, Malacostraca, Decapoda, Portunidae. The transcript is spliced from 3 exons.